This 500-nucleotide ribosomal RNA is filed under the name uncultured cyanobacterium. Its description in RNAcentral is "bacterial SSU rRNA". It matches the Rfam family "Bacterial small subunit ribosomal RNA", at positions 356 to 858 of the family's 1533-position model. The record is from RNAcentral. Lineage: Bacteria; Bacillati; Cyanobacteriota.
GGUGAAUUUUCCGCAAUGGGCGAAAGCCUGACGGAGCAAGACCGCGUGGGGGAAGAAGGCUCUUGGGUUGUAAACCCCUUUUCUCUGGGAAGAAAGUUGUGAAAGCAACCUGACGGUACCAGAGGAAUCAGCAUCGGCUAACUCCGUGCCAGCAGCCGCGGUAAGACGGAGGAUGCAAGCGUUAUCCGGAAUGAUUGGGCGUAAAGCGUCCGCAGGUGGCAGUUCAAGUCUGCUGUCAAAGACCGGGGCUUAACCUCGGAAAGGCAGUGGAAACUGAACAGCUAGAGUAUGGUAGGGGCAAAGGGAAUUCCUGGUGUAGCGGUGAAAUGCGUAGAGAUCAGGAAGAACAUCGGUGGCGAAGGCGCUUUGCUGGACCAUAACUGACACUCAGGGACGAAAGCUAGGGGAGCGAAUGGGAUUAGAUACCCCAGUAGUCCUAGCCGUAAACGAUGGAUACUAGGUGUUGUCUGUAUCGACCCGGACAGUGCCGUAGCUAACGC